CGCUGCCUACUGUUAAAAUUGGGGAGAAUGUGAUCUGUUCGGUUUGCUUGGAGGAUUUUGAGAUCGGGGCGGAGGCCAGGGAGAUGCCUUGCCGGCAUAGGUUUCACUGUGACUGCAUAAUACCUUGGCUGGAGCUUCACAGCUCGUGCCCAGUUUGUAGGUUUCAGUUGCCAGCUGAUGGGUCGAAGAUACCGAAUGGGUCUGGUAGUGGGAGCGGAGAGAGGCGGAGGAUUCCUGUCCAGUAUUCUUCCAGUGGGGGGCUCUCAAUGUCGGUG
RNAcentral lists this unclassified non-coding RNA (275 nucleotides) under Hevea brasiliensis (rubber tree). The record is from RNAcentral. Lineage: Eukaryota; Viridiplantae; Streptophyta; Magnoliopsida; Malpighiales; Euphorbiaceae.